RNAcentral lists this ribosomal RNA (438 nucleotides) under Triticum aestivum (bread wheat). RNAcentral describes it as "partial small subunit ribosomal RNA". The record is from RNAcentral. Lineage: Eukaryota; Viridiplantae; Streptophyta; Magnoliopsida; Poales; Poaceae.
AUGGCGCCGCCGCAGCCGCCGCUGGCCUCUAUCCCCGUCCCCGACGACCUCCUGGAGGAGAUCUUCCUCCGCCUGCCCACCCCGGACGCGCUCGCCCGCGCCUCCGCCGCCUGCACCUCCUUCCGUCGCGUCAUCAAAGGUCGCGCCUUCCGCCGCCGCUUCCGCGCGCUGCACCGGCCUCCCCUCCUCGGCUUCAUGGACGCGGCGGGAUUCCACCCCGCCCAGGCGCCCCACCCCUCCGCCCCGCUCGCCGGCGCCCUCGCCCCCUGCGCCGCCGAUUUCUCCUUCGUCCCGGCCGUCGUUUCUUCUUCCUCCUACUACUUCCCGCCGGGCGUCCAAGACGACAGGGAAGGCCCCCGCUGGCGCCCCCCGCGACGUCCGCGGUGGCCGCGUCCUCCUCGAUUGGAUCUCCCUCCACCCCCGCACCGUGCGCAUUAG